This 400-nucleotide ribosomal RNA is filed under the name phytoplankton environmental sample. RNAcentral describes it as "partial small subunit ribosomal RNA". It matches the Rfam family "Eukaryotic small subunit ribosomal RNA", at positions 587 to 972 of the family's 1831-position model. The record is from RNAcentral.
AGCUCCAAUAGCGUAUAUUAAAGUUGUUGCAGUUAAAAAGCUCGUAGUUGGAUUUCUGAAUUGAACGAUCGGUCCGCUUAUGACUUGUUUGUAAGUGUGUACUUUUGAUAGUUUAACUCAUUUUUGAGAGAAUCUAUUCCUGCCAUUAAGUUGAUGGGUUUAGGGACUUUCAUCAUUUACUGUGAAAAAAUUAGAGUGUUUAAAGCAGGCUUUAUGGCCAAUUGAAUACAUUAGCAUGGAAUAAUAAGAUACGACUUUGGUGGUCUAUUUUGUUGGUUUGCACACCAGAGUAAUGAUUAAUAGGGACAGUUGGGGGUAUUCAUAUUUCAGCGUCAGAGGUGAAAUUCUUGGAUCGCUGAAAGAUGAGCUUAGGCGAAAGCAUUUACCAAGGAUGUUUUCA